RNAcentral lists this long non-coding RNA (214 nucleotides) under Elaeis guineensis (African oil palm). RNAcentral's name for it is "long non-coding RNA (EGUI_LNC055378)". Lineage: Eukaryota; Viridiplantae; Streptophyta; Magnoliopsida; Arecales; Arecaceae. The record is from RNAcentral.
UCAUAUGAUUCAGUUCUUUUAUCAUAUAUCCUGACUAAAUGGAGGUCAUGAAAAAUUCGUCCUACUCCAUCAUCUGUCAUAUGCAAGAAUGGUUUGAUUUGAGUUUAUUUAUAAAUUUUUAUGAAAUUUUUUUUUUCAAUAUUCACACUUGCUUCGGCUAAAGACUUUCUAAACUCAAUCUCAUGAAUCAUAUAGGAUUUCUAUUUUUCUACUA